GACCUUGUGGCGCAACGGUUGCGCAUCUGACUCCAGAUCAGAAGGUUGUGUGUUCAAGCCACAUCAAGGUCA
This 72-nucleotide transfer RNA is filed under the name Danionella translucida. It matches the Rfam family "tRNA". Rfam says of the family: Transfer RNA (tRNA) molecules are approximately 80 nucleotides in length. The record is from Rfam by way of RNAcentral. Lineage: Eukaryota; Metazoa; Chordata; Actinopteri; Cypriniformes; Danionidae. RNAcentral also lists the same sequence under 1 other name.